AGAGAACCUGGUAAUAGAAGUAGCUCUCCUGGCUGAAGAUUGCAGGUCCCAAUUGCGAGAAUAAUGAAGACACUUAGUGGACCUUUGUUCCUGUUCUUGUGGCUGCAGCUGGACUGUAUGAGUAGAGGAGAAGUGGUGGAGCAGCAUCCUUCUUUCCUGAGUGUCCGGGAGGGAGACAGCUUGGUUAUCAACUGCACUUACACAGACAGCACCUCCACAUACUUCUUCUGGUACAAGCAAGAACCCGGAACAGGUCUCCAGCUGCUUAUAUAUACUCUUUCAACUGUGGACAAGAAACAAGAACAAAGACUCACUGUCCUAUUGAAUAAUAAGGACAAACAUCUCUCCCUGAACAUUACAGACACCCUUCCUGGGGACUCAGCCACCUAUUUCUGUGCAGCAAGAGCACAGUGA
Diceros bicornis minor is the source of this 414-nucleotide non-coding RNA. The record is from the annotation of a RefSeq genome assembly. Lineage: Eukaryota; Metazoa; Chordata; Mammalia; Perissodactyla; Rhinocerotidae.